RNAcentral lists this ribosomal RNA (441 nucleotides) under Veillonella dispar. Its description in RNAcentral is "bacterial SSU rRNA". It matches the Rfam family "Bacterial small subunit ribosomal RNA", at positions 28 to 445 of the family's 1533-position model. Lineage: Bacteria; Bacillati; Bacillota; Negativicutes; Veillonellales; Veillonellaceae. The record is from RNAcentral.
GACGAACGCUGCGGCGUGCUUAACACAUGCAAGUCGAACGAAGAGCGAUGGAAGCUUGCUUCUAUCAAUCUUAGUGGCGAACGGGUGAGUAACGCGUAAUCAACCUGCCCUUCAGAGGGGGACAACAGUUGGAAACGACUGCUAAUACCGCAUACGAUCUAACCUUGGCAUCGAGGAUGGAUGAAAGGUGGCCUCUAUUUAUAAGCUAUCACUGAAGGAGGGGAUUGCGUCUGAUUAGCUAGUUGGAGGGGUAACGGCCCACCAAGGCGAUGAUCAGUAGCCGGUCUGAGAGGAUGAACGGCCACAUCGGGACUGAGACACGGCCCAGACUCCUACGGGAGGCAGCAGUGGGGAAUCUUCCGCAAUGGACGAAAGUCUGACGGAGCAACGCCGCGUGAGUGAUGACGGCCUUCGGGGUUGUAAAAGCUCUGUUAAAUCGGG